RNAcentral lists this long non-coding RNA (1968 nucleotides) under Cricetulus griseus (Chinese hamster). Its description in RNAcentral is "lncRNA (ENSCGRG00015037352.1)". Lineage: Eukaryota; Metazoa; Chordata; Mammalia; Rodentia; Cricetidae. The record is from RNAcentral.
AAACUAUCCUUCCCACCCCACACAACACCACCAUCUCAUCCACAUCCACCAGCUCCCACCAGAACCUCAUGAACCAACCACAGCUGCAGCCACAUGUCAGUCUGAAGACGGCCAUUUACCAAAAGCCAAACCAAAAGAGAUACUUGGUGACAACAGCAUCUGUACCCAAUGUUUCCUCUCGUUGUCCUGUUUGCAGCAAGUCAACUUUCCUGCUAGAAACCUUUUUAACCCCUGUGAUCAGUUUCUGCUGCCAUUGCUUUGGUAACACUGCUUGGCAACCAUCAUCAAUGAUAUCACUUUACCAAAGAUGAAGGCUCACUACCACAACUUUCUUCAUUUUUUCUGGAGCGCUCAGAAACUUUUGAUGCUGUGAGUCUCUCAUUGUUUUAAAGUAAUCUUCGUCUGUUUUUGUGUGUGCUUGAACAUUUUUGCCAUUUCUGCUAUCCCCAUAGCUACCUACGAUCCUCAGUCUCCCCAAAGUUUCUCUUAUCUUAGUAUUUCACGUGCUUUCUUGUAGACCUCUGCCCUUGUCCUGUGUUUUCAUCUUUAUCUGUUUUAGACCCCUGUUGCCACAACAAACCAACCAAAACUUUGUGGUUUCAAACUGCAACAAAUUCUUGUCCCCGAGAUCUUGUGGCUUAACUGGGUGCUCUUCUGUCUGUGGUAUUGGUUAGGGAGUUGAGGGAAUGGUUGUUCAGAAAUAGCCUUACUAACAUAUAACUGGAAAUUUGUUCUGGCCACGGGUUGGGAGCUCAAGUAGAACUGACAGUUGAAGGCCUGUUAAGUAAAGUGCUCUUACACAGUCUCCUCAUUCUGCUUCCUGAGGAUGUGUUCCAAAAGGUGAAGGUAAAGCCACCAGUCCUCAUCAAACAGAGAGAGUCAAAACUCCUGGAUGCCCCCUCUCCUGCUUCAUAUUGGUCAAGACAAUUGCCCAGAGAAGAGGGCUACAUCUUUAUAAGGUGUGGCAUUUCAUGCAGAGAGAGGGAAUUGUGGGUGGCAAACAUAUUUGAUAAUCUGCCACAAUUAACCUUCUGCCUGAGACAAUGGCUAGCACUCCAAUGUACAAAACGAACUCACGUCUGCCUGAACUCUCAUUCCAUGAUAGAAUCUGCACCAAGCAUGGGAUAUCAUCAUUAUAACGUAGCACCCUCUGCUCUACUACUUGAUACUGCUUUUCAGAGGUUGCUUUGGGAGGAGGCAUUGAGUUCUCUGGACUGAAAACAGCAAGUCGUAUUACAAACUAAGAAACAGUUGUGGGAAAGGAUACAGAAUAAAGCAAUAAAGUCUAGAGUACACAGGGCGGGCAAGCACCACUGUUCUUAGCAAUUCCGAAAUUUGACUGGGCACAUGUUACCAUUUGUUCUGACUCCUAGGCCAGAGAAUGUCCCUGGAUUGGCUAUGUGUUUCUGCUCCAUUACCAUGUGAGCUGGGUGUGGCAGUGCAGCCUGUCAUCUCAGAACUCAGAAGGCAGAGACAGGAGGAUCACUGCAAUGCAGAGGCCGGCCUGGUCUGCAUAGUGAGUUCCAGCCAGAGCUACAUGCCAUCACCCCUGACCUGGGACAGUUGCAGAAGUGGAUGACCUCUGAAGAUACACUCAUCUGGAUGCCAGAUUUGCACAGGGGAUCAUUUCCUUGGCCAGCAGCUCAGGUUUUUUCCCCAACACCAGCCAAAUAGAGACAUAGUAUCUAUGAGUCGUACUACUUCCUCUCUGCCUACAUCCUGAGCGAAAGAGAUGGGGAAUUCUCAACAUACCUGGAGAAGUUCCAAGUAAAGAGUCACAUUUAAAUGCCUACUUGUCUACCGUAAUACAAAGAAAAUGCAACAGUGAAGAAGCAUGCGGACCCUUCUCCUUGGAAACAGUUCUUCCACUAAGGAAUGAGUGCCCCCUAAGAGAAAACCCCAGAAAUAAUAAAUUGGUUUCUUAGCUGUGAUUCUGGUUUCCUAAUUCAAAACCAAAGGAGGUUAAUC